RNAcentral lists this long non-coding RNA (1950 nucleotides) under Homo sapiens (human). Its description in RNAcentral is "HSALNT0359705". The record is from RNAcentral. Lineage: Eukaryota; Metazoa; Chordata; Mammalia; Primates; Hominidae.
GAGCGCUCGGGGAACGGCAUGCAUGUGACGCAGCUUUUAAAAAAGGAGACGGAGGCAGAGACCCCAGAGAGGGAGGGCGAAGGGGAGGGCUUGGAGGCGCAGCCGCGCGCUCGGUGUCCGUCCUCCGGGUGCCGCCGGAUGGGGAGUCUGGCUGAGCCGGAGCGGGAGCCGCGGCUGGGGGAGGCGGAGCCGGGGUGGGCAGUGUGGUGUAUCUCUCUCCACCCCGGGCCGCGCUCCGGGAGGGAAAAGGGACUGCAGACCCCCUGUCCGUGCUCCCUGCUGAGACGCCAGCCUUCUUCUGGAGGCCCCUUGUUUCGCGUCCCUACCCUAGGCUGGAUGGGUAAAGAAGCAUUCUCUUAAUUCUUGUAGCAACCCCUCAACUCACCCCUUCCCUAAAUUAACCACUCCUCCUUUGCCUGCGAAACCAGUUGGGACUAGAACUAAAAGGGUUAAUUAAGUGGGGUCCCCGCCCUCCUCCGCCUAAGGGCUUGGGAUCUGUGUUUUGCUGGGGGGAGGGGGCUGCGGAAUGACCACCAGAUUGGAUUACGGAGGGGCGAUAGGAGGCCAUCCUUCCUUCUUGCAGACUGACGCAUCAGUCAAGACACUCUCUUCCCUUCCCCCCUUUCUCCAGCCUUGGUGCCUUCACCUCCGUACCAACCGCCCAACCCCACCGCCUCCGACCCCCCUGCCUGGAAGCUGCUGUCCUUUGAGGGCUUCGGAGAUGAGAACAGGAAACAGGCCCCUCCAGUGCCCCCUAACCCAGAGAGGCAGAGGCUGUGGGCCGUGGGGGGUUGGAUGGGAGAUGAUGUGGAUGGUCAAUGUUUUUGCUGAGGGAGCAUGAAAUGAUGGAACGGUGCAGAGUCCAGGGAUUGAAAAGAAGGCCUGCCUAGGAAUGGAGACCCUCCCCACCAUGUGCUUAGGAUGGGGGAUAGGGGAGCUUGUACACUGUGGAGUCUCCCACCCCCAGGUUUCCCCAUCUCCACCCCCACCAGGAGCAGAGAGGACCUGACUGAAGCCAUCCACACUCACACAAGUAUUUCCUUGGCAGCAUCCCCUGCCUGAGUGCACCCCCUCCCUGCAUUCUCCCAGACAAAGGUCAGCACUAGAGGGAGUAGAGAGAACAUAAGGCAACAGAACACUGGCCCGAAAUUGUGGAUACCUAGGUUUGAACGCAAGAUUCGCUCCUCAAUACCUGAGUGAUUUGAGACAACUGACCACCCCACCUGGGACACUAGCUUUAUCCUCUGUAACCUAUGGCUUGGCCUUUUACACUUGCCGACUCAUUUACCUUUCAUGAGGACCUUUGGAAGAAGGUGCUAUUACCUCCAUUGAACAAGUAGGAAAACUGAAGUUCAGAGAUGAUAAUAAAUUUGAACUUGCCUGUAAAACACUGUUCUCCCUCUUCUUCACCUACUAGUUAAUGCUUCCUUAACACCUUAGUUCUAGCUUCACCUUCUCUGGGAAGAUUACCCUUCCCACUCCCACUGACACUAUAGCCCAGUUACCGGUAAGGAAAUACCAUCUCAGUACUGUUGAAUGGGUGGUUAAAAUAAGUGAUUGGGGCUCCUACAGGAACUCCAUUUAGGCAAGUUAGUUAACUUUGCCAAGGUAACAGAGCUAACAAGCACUUGACCCAUUGCUCCACUCCUUGCCUUACUUCUAGUGUGGAUCAGACCUGGGGAGGGAGAAGAGAACAUCUUUGGAGCAUCUCUGGGAAUUGUGGUAUAGGCAAAAAUGGGAAGAGAGGUCACAGACACCUGGCAGACAGAAGGGAUGUGGUAGGAAGGGGGUGGAGUCUAUGUGGAGGGGGGGUCUUUAACUUAAUGACAAUGUCCUGGAGGACUGGAGGCUUAGCUGAUUUGUAUGGAUGGGUGUAAGUGCCCAGUAUUCUCUCUCUCUCCCUCUGUAUGUGUGUGGUAAAAUUCACAUAACAUAAAAUUAACCUUUUUU